AGCGAACGUUAGCGGCAGGCUUAACACAUGCAAGUCGAGCGAGAAAGGGGCUUCGGCCCCAAGUAAAGCGGCGGACGGGUGCGUAACACGUGGAUAAUCUGCCUCGUGGCGGGGGAUAACAGCCCGAAAGGACUGCUAAUACCGCAUGUCACGAUGAAGGUCUCGGCCUUCAUCGAAAAAGAGGGCGCCGCAAGGGCUCUCACCACGAGAUGAGUCCGCGUCCCAUCAGCUAGUUGGCGGUGUAAUGGACCACCAAGGCUUAGACGGGUAGCUGGUCUGAGAGGAUGGCCAGCCACACUGGGACUGAGACACGGCCCAGACUCCUACGGGAGGCAGCAGUGGGGAAUAUUGGACAAUGGGCGAAAGCCUGAUCCAGCCAUGCCGCGUGCAGGAUGAAGGGGCUCUGCCCUGUAAACUGCUUUUGAAUGGGCGAAAAGCCUCACUUGUGAGGAACUGACGGUACCAUUAGAAUAAGCACCGGCUAACU
Molecule: ribosomal RNA, 487 nt
Filed under: uncultured bacterium
Lineage: Bacteria
Description: bacterial SSU rRNA
Rfam family: Bacterial small subunit ribosomal RNA
Source: RNAcentral